Molecule: ribosomal RNA, 497 nt
Filed under: uncultured bacterium
Lineage: Bacteria
Description: partial 16S ribosomal RNA
Rfam family: Bacterial small subunit ribosomal RNA
Source: RNAcentral
GAUGAACGCUGGCGGCGUGCCUAAUACAUGCAAGUCGAGCGAACAGAUGAGGAGCUUGCUCCUCUGACGUUAGCGGCGGACGGGUGAGUAACACGUGGAUAACCUACCUAUAAGACUGGGAUAACUUCGGGAAACCGGAGCUAAUACCGGAUAAUAUAUUGAACCGCAUGGUUCAAUAGUGAAAGACGGUUUUGCUGUCACUUAUAGAUGGAUCCGCUCCGCAUUAGCUAGUUGGUAAGGUAACGGCUUACCAAGGCAACGAUGCGUAGCCGACCUGAGAGGGUGGUCGGCCACCAUGGAACUGAGACACGGUCCAGACUCCUACGGGAGGCAGCAGUAGGGAAUCUUCCGCAAUGGGCGAAAGCCUGACGGAGCAACGCCGCGUGAGUGAUGAAGGUCUUCGGAUCGUAAAACUCUGUUAUUAGGGAAGAACAAAUGUGUAAGUAACUAUGCACGUCUUGACGGUACCUAAUCAGAAAGCCACGGCUAACUACGUG